RNAcentral lists this signal recognition particle RNA (298 nucleotides) under Aotus nancymaae (Ma's night monkey). RNAcentral describes it as "Metazoan signal recognition particle RNA (ENSANAG00000000608.1)". It matches the Rfam family "Metazoan signal recognition particle RNA". Rfam says of the family: The signal recognition particle (SRP) is a universally conserved ribonucleoprotein. It is involved in the co-translational targeting of proteins to membranes. The eukaryotic SRP consists of a 300-nucleotide 7S RNA and six proteins: SRPs 72, 68, 54, 19, 14, and 9. Lineage: Eukaryota; Metazoa; Chordata; Mammalia; Primates; Aotidae. The record is from RNAcentral.
GCCUGGUGUGGUGGCAUGUGCUUGUAGUCCCAGCUGCUCGGUAGGCUGAGGCUGGAGGAUUGCUUGAGUCCAGCAUUUCCGGGCUGUAGUGUGCUAUGCCAGUCGGCUGUCUGCACUAAGUUUGGCAUUAAUAUAGUGACCUCCUGGGAGCAGGGACCACCAGGUUGCCUAAGGAGGGGUGAACCAACCCAGGUCAGAAACGGAACAGGUCAAAACUCCCGUGCUGAUCAGUAGUGGGAUUCCACCUGUGAAUAGCCACUGCACUCCAGCCUGAGCAACAUAGCGAGACCCUGUCUCU